This 229-nucleotide ribosomal RNA is filed under the name uncultured bacterium. RNAcentral's name for it is "partial 16S ribosomal RNA". It matches the Rfam family "Bacterial small subunit ribosomal RNA", at positions 568 to 796 of the family's 1533-position model. The record is from RNAcentral.
UGCGUAGGCGGCCUUUUAAGUCAGAGGUGAAAUAUGACGGCUCAACCGUCAAACUGCCCCUGAAACUGAAAGGCUUGAGUUCGAGAGAGGAAGGUGGAAUUCCAGGUGUAGCGGUGAAAUGCGUAAAUAUCUGGAGGAACACCAGUGGCGAAGGCGGCCUUCUGGCUCGAAACUGACGCUCAGGCACGAAAGCAUGGGGAGUGAACAGGAUUAGAUACCCUGGUAGUCC